RNAcentral lists this long non-coding RNA (29829 nucleotides) under Ananas comosus (pineapple). RNAcentral describes it as "long non-coding RNA (ACOM_LNC013988)". Lineage: Eukaryota; Viridiplantae; Streptophyta; Magnoliopsida; Poales; Bromeliaceae. The record is from RNAcentral.
UAUUAUUGAAUUUUCAUAAAUAAAAAUUUGGGUAAACUUCAAAUACCCCCGUUGUUUCACACUACCUCACUUUAGUACCUGUGGUUUAAAGUGUAUCAAGUUAGCCCCUGUGGUUUCGCACUUCCUCACUUUAGUACCCUAUGGUUUAAAGUGUAUUAAGUUAGUACUACGUGGUUUCGCACUUUCUUACUUUAGUACCUUGUGGUUUAAAGUGCAUCAAUUUAGUACUCUGUGGUUUUAUUUUUUCUUUUCGUCGGUUCCUCUAUUAAUAUUUCGUUAAAUUAUAUACAAAAAACUUCAUAUACCUUCUCUAGAUUUAUCGAAUAUUUACUUUAGUAUCCUUUAGUUUUAACUUUAUCGCUGAAAUUUUUUUUCCUCCGUUAAUAUUUCGUUAAAUUAGAUACAAAAAAUUUCAAAUAUCCUAUCUAGGUUUAUCGAAUAUUCACUUUAGUACCCUUUAGUUUUAACUUUGUUACUGAUUUAAAGAAAAAAAAUUAGUAAAAUGGAUAAUAAAAAGAGAAAAAUGAAAGCACAUGAUACUCACUUGAUAUAGUUUAAACCACAGGGUAUUAAAGUAAGAAAGUACGAAACCACAGGGAUUAAUUUGAUACAUUUUAAACUAUAGAAUACUCAAAUGAAAAAAUAUAAAACAACAGGAGAAGUAUUUGAAGUUUACCAAAAUUUUAUGCGGUGGGAUGUGCCGGCAGGAAGGUUGCAGUGCAACUCUGUCAUACUCCUAAAGGAUUACUCUUAUACUUUAUUUUGACCAAUAGGCCAAAUCGGUUGCCCAAAAUUUAAUAGACUUUAUUUAGAAGCUUGUGCAUUAAUUACUACAUGUGAGUUUAGCUGUACAUGAAAAACUCAUGGCAUAUAUUAGUAACUUAUAUACUUCAUCGUCCACAAGCUAUUUGUUUAGGUAAUAAUAAGAGUGGUGUCAUUCACUAAACACACAUAUCUGCACACGGCACGAGCCAAGUCGCAUGCAAUUUUGGCUAUCUAGUUUUUUUUUCCUACAUUUAAAUCUUCUUCUUUUUUUCAGAUCUCAUCUGAAUUUUUUAUGUCUAUAGUAUUUUGUCAUUGAUUCUUGCAUGUGAUUUUCAAAAUAGUUAUUUAAAUGUCUUCAAAUCAAAAUAUUUAAAAAGAUUUAUAUCUACUAAAAAAAAGUAGAGAGAUUUCCAAAAGAGGUCUAUAUGAAUCAUAAGCACUUCAUAAUGCCUGUUUUUUUUUUAUGCUAAUAAGAAAGUCUCUAGGCAGAUUUAACUUUUAUUUAUGUAAACUAAUUAUGAUUUUCUUGUCCCAGAUCCCUACUCCACUACGCGUCGUUAUCGGAUUACUUCCGGGGAAUAAGGAAGAUGCAAUACAAGAAAUGAAAACCACACUGCAGCAGUUGGAAAGUGCUUUUACGAAAUGCAGCAAAGGAAAAGCCUUCUUUGGCGGAGAUACGAUAGGAUAUUUGGACAUGGCCUUAGGAUGCUUCUUGAGCUGGUUCAAAGCAGUAGAGAUGAUGAACACUGGUGUAAACAUCCUCGACGAGGCGAAGACGCCUCUCUUGGCCGAAUGGGCGAACCGCUUCUACUCCGAUGAUGCGGUAAAGGAGGUGAUGCCCGAACCCGACGUGCUUGUCGAGCAUGUCAAAAAGAAUGUUGUUCAAGCCAAGGAGAAUUAAUGCUGGUACUUCUUAUUGAAGCAAUAUAUAUAUGAUGUUGCAGCAAAGAUUAUAUAAUAAUGGUUGGUGAUUGCCAUAGGAAUUUAGAUAAGGAAUAAAUUUGGGGAAUAAGUAAAAUGGAUAGGGAAAUGCUUGGCUUUUGUAACAUGAUGAAUUAAGCUACUUGGAUUAGAAUUUAUACUUAGUAGUUUGUGUAUUAAUUGUUCCCUUACUCUGUGUGUGCUUUGCUAAAACAGGUUCACAAAUGGUAAUAGAACAUUAAGGCCUUCCUUGAAAGAACAAUGAUACCAACAGCUACAAAUAGAAGUCCUAAACUAGACAAAUAUAGAAAAUAAAAUAAGUCAUGCAAGAACCCCUAACAUUUACUUCUAAAUAUUAAAUACAUUUUUUUAAUUUAUUCGAAUAAUUUGUGCAUUUGAUUGAUACGGAGUGUGAUUCAAUGUUUAUAAUGAAAUAUUUUAUUCAAAUUUCAAAUUAUUUUUUAAAAAUAUUAUCUUAUAGGUAAAAUAUAUUAUUCUAUUAAAUUAUGAAUAAUAAAAUUUUUGUAAAAAUCAAAUUUCGUAUUUACAAUUAUAUUGAAAAAUUUUCAUACAGAAUAAGUUAUUUUUAGAUAAUUUUUUCUGACAUCCAAAUAGAAUCUUCAUUGAGUAUUUUUUAAAUAAAUUUAAAGCCGCAAGAUAUUGAUCCAAUGCCAAAUGCGUCCAUGCAUGCGUCACAAAUCCCUUCACAUCCAUGAACAUCAAUAAAUUUGUAUUAUAUACACAAGUCACAUAAACAAAAAACUAAGUAAAUAAAUAAAUAAAUAAAACCCAUUAAUUCUAUUCCUCAAGCAGGGAAUUGAUUUUAGUCCUUGACCAACCUGAAAACACAAUUGAAGGCAACAUUCAAACCUCCUAAUUAUUCCGGGAGGUACCUAUUAUUUAGUUACAAUGUCACCUUCAUUAAUAAUAAUAAUAAUAAUAAUAAUAAUAAUAAGCAUUAAAGGGGCAAAAUGUAAUAAUCUUUAAUGAUUUAAAAUCAGGUCCAACUGGUUGAUUCAACCGGUCGAUCGUGACUCAAUCUACAAAGCAGCAUGAUUUAAUCCUUUGAACUGAGCAAGUCUAAAUAUCAUUUUGAAUGGCUCGAACCUACAGUAACCAUUGUAUAAGUGAACCAUUCCGAUUUUAAUCAAACCGUCCGAAUUUUUUUAGUCGAGUAAGUCAAAAAAUCUCUUUGAACUGUUCGAACCUGCAGUUCACCCAUCGUACAAGUGGGCUAAUUCGAUUUUAAUCAAACUGUCUGUUAUCUUUUUAAAAAUCAAAUUGUCUGGAUCGUGUCUCAGUCUACAAAGCGGCUCGAUUCAAUCCUUUGAUCUGAAUUAGUCCAAAAAAUGCUUUGAACUGUUCGAACCUGCGGCUCAACCAUCGUAUAAGUGAACCAAUCUGAUUUUAAUCAAACUGUCCAAAUUUUCUUUUAAUUAAAUAAUACUAAAAUCCAAGUGUUUAAAGUCACUUAAGCAGAUUUUACUAUUAACACAAAUUAGUCUUAUAAAAAGUGAAAUUUAAAAAUUUAUAUCUACUUAAUUUGGUCAAGGAAUUAAUACUUUCUCAUUACGGUGGUUGACCCAUUGGUUGAAUUGUUGAUUCUUGACCUAGUAAUAUUUUCGGAUUGCUAUUCAACUCGGUUUUUUUGAUAUUUUUCGAUAUUAGUGGUCUGAUCCAAUAUUAUUAUAUCAAAUCCAAGUGCAAAUAUUCUUCCUUUUUAAAAAAAAAUAAAAAAUCAUAUAGUUUGUCCCAUUUUAAGUGGACAAAUAUGUUACAAGAAGGUCAAAUCCUAACAAAUAACUUAGGCAGAAAUGCUUGCAGCUCCCAAUAAUUAUCGGACCUGUUUGGUCUAAUUUUUGAAAAAAUGAUUAUUGUAAAAGUGAUUUUGAUUUGGAGAAUUGAUUUUGGUGAAAAGCCGUAGAGCGUUUGGCUGAGUUUAGGUAAAAGUGAUUUUUCAUAAGCGGUUUUCUAAAGCUGUUUGGCAAAAAAAUUUUGAUGCAUGUAUAUAUUAAUAUUUUUACUAAAUUUUAUUUUAAAAUAAUUUAAAUUUUGAAUUUAAAUUUAAAAUUUAAAUUUGGAUUAAAAGUAUAAUUUUUAAAUUUCAAAUUUGUACAAAAAAUAAAUUUGAAAUUUCAAAAAUUUUAAUUUAAAAUUUGAAUUUUUUAAUCUAAAUUUAAAAUUUCAAUUUUCCAAUCUGAAUUUAAAUUUUGAAUUUUAAAUUUAAAAUCUAAUUUUAAAUUUUAAAUUUUAAAUUUUAAAUUUUAAAUUUUAAAUUUUAAAUUUUAAAAGUUGAGAUUUAAAAAUUCAAAUAUGAAUUUAAAAUUUCAAAUUUUAAAUUUAAUGUUAAAUUUAUACUUUGAAUCUAAAAUGAAAAAAAAUUUGAAGUUUGAGUCCAAAAUCAGAAUCAGUUUGGAAGAAGCAGUUUUUUCACUUCUGAUUCUGGAAUCUUCAAAAUCAGUUUUUGAUUCUGAAAGUAGAAUUAGAUUUUUCAUCUAUCAUUCUCAAACACUCUACUGAGCUUAGAAGUCUUUUGGGCUUAGAAUCACUGACCGAAAGGCCAACAACCCAUAGUCACUUGCUUUUAUUUAAUACUAAUAUAGGAACCCCCGAUGCUGCGGAUAAAAAUUAUAAUAAAUUAUAAUUAAAUAUACAAAUAAAAAUAUAAAAAUAUAAAAAAAUAAUCAAUUUUGAUUGGUUAAUAAUAUAAAAUAUAUUGAAAUUUUUUAUAAUGAAAAUAUAAUUCAAUGGAGAACAAAGAAAGAAAACAAAAAAAAAACUAUAAAAGAUAAAAAUUAUUGCAUAGAUAGGAAUUAAAAAAAAAACAUAAUUUAAUGCAAGAAUAAAAGGGAAGGAAAAAAUAAAAACCAAAGGUGAUUAACGUUGGGGUUGGUUUAUUACUGUGAUAAAUUAUAAGGGCUCUGGUUUCUUCUUUUCUACAUAAAAAUUAAAUUUAAAAAAAAUAAUUAGCAAUUAAAAUAAAAUAAAAUUAGAGAGAAAAAAUAUUUUUUGAGAAAGGAAAAAAAUAUUUUUAAUUCAUAAAAAUAUAAAAUAUCACUUGAAGCGAAUUUGAUUGUAGCACUUAAAUUUAUUAUCACCUACUUUUCGUAAUAUAAAUCAAAUUAAAAUUAAAAAUUAGUAUUUAAAAAUUAUUAUUAAUAAUAAUUUGAAUUUUCAAAGAAUGGGGAGAAAAGAGAACGGAUGUGGAUGGGGGGGGGGGGGGGGGGGGGAAUGGGAGUUUUCUUGAAGGAGCGAGUUCAAGAUGAAGGAACAUACGGUGGAUAAAAGGAGAUGAAGGAAAAUACGGUGAGAUAGGAAGAGAUCAGAGAUAUAUGCGGAGGAAAGAAGAGAGAAAGAUCCACUUAUAAAAAAAAAAAAAAAAUUAGAAGUGCCAAAAAAAAAAAAAGACAUUUGCCACAUCAGCUAUUGAUAUUGAAAAAUUAUAUAGAGAUAUAGAUAUAUAAAUAGGUUUUAAUAUUUUGUGUUAACAGUAACACCAUCAUAUUCUUUUUUAACACCAUCCUAUUCAUAUUAGAACAAGAAAAUAAGUUUUUUCAUAAGAGGUUAUUCUAUAUAUGGGAAUAACAUCAUAAAUAAAAAUAUACAAAAAUAAAAUUUUUUGUUAAAUAUUAUUUUAAUAUAAAUUACUAAAUUUCUCUAAUUUAAUAUAUACUAUUAAAUUAAUUUAAAAUAUAAAUAUAGAAUUUUAAAUAAUUAUAUUUAUUCAACCUAUGCAUUUUUCACUUUAGUACCCUAUGGUUUAAAGUGUAUCAUUUAGUAUCCUAUGAUUUCGCACUUUCGCACUUAAGUACUCUGUGGUUUAAAAUGCAUCAAUUUAGUACAUUGUGGUUUCAUUUUUUUUCUUUUUGUCGGCUUUUUUGUUAAUAUUUCGUUAAAUUAUAUAAAAAAAACUUCAGAUAUCCUACCUAAAUUUAUUAAAUGUUUACUUUAGUACCCUUUAAUUUAAACUUCGUCACUGAUUUUUUUUUCCUCCGUUAAUAUUUUAUUAAAUUAUAUACAAAAACUUCAAAUACCUACCUAGAUUUAUCGAAUAUUCAUUUUAGUACCCUUUAAUUUUAACCUUGUCACUGAUUUAAUGAAAAAAAUUAGUGAAAUAAAUAAUAAAAAAAAAAUAAAACCACAUAGUCCUAACUUGAUAUAUUUUAAACUACAGAAUACUAAAGUAAGAAAGUGUGAAACCAUAAAGACUAACUUGAUACACUUUAAAUUAAAGAAUAUUAAAAUAAAAAAGUACGAAACAACGUGUGAGGUAUUUAAAAGUUUAUCCUAUAAUUUAUACAAAAAAUAAAUAAAAUAUAUUCAAUCGUAAGUCGUAACGCCUCGCAAUUCGCAACACCAAAAUAAAGGAGGUCGGUGGACCCCACCGCGACCUCGCCCGCUUAUUAUAGAUCGCACGCGUCCGAAUCGGACCGGAGAAACGCAGUUCGCCCGAACCCAACGGUUUACCUACGAUGGCGACGCAGGCGUUGGCGGCCUCCACAACCCGCAAUGCGCCACCUCCCCCCCCGCCCCCGCCCCUCCCCUCUCUUCAAGAGGAGACCCUCUCGUGAUUUUCCAUUUCCAUUUCGACUUCAACUUCCCCUCCUCUCUCUCUCUCUCUCUCUCUCUCUCUCUCUCUCGCAUGCCUCACUCUUACCCCAUUCACCUCUCUCUCCUCUCCUCCUCCUCUUCCUCCGAUCUCCUUUCGUAGCUUCGGCCCUUCGAUCCGAUGGCCAUGGCGAUCGAUUCGCCCCGCGGAGCGCUUGGUCUCGUCCUCGUCGGCGUCGUCCUCCUCCUCGCGUUGAUGUCGCCGCGCGCGAGGCUCGGAGCCGUGGCGAGGCCGGAUAAGGAGACGAGGGAGAAGUUCUACGGCGAUCUCGUCACGGGAUCCACCCGCAAUAGCACAGGGGAGGGGAGCAUCGCAGAGAUGUUCGAUCGAGUCCUCGAGAAGGAGUUCUCCGAGAACGAUUCGCCCGAAGGUAAAGGAGUUAGCUCUUUAUCGCAUCUGUUUGAUCAAGAUCCUUGCUCCUGUGUUAUUGCGGAUGUAGUGUGUGUUUUGUUGGCUCGUAGAAUGCCAAGAAACUCUUAUUCCAAGAAUUUGGUAUUCGAUGUUGCGGCAUUUCAUUUGUAAAAUGAAUAUUAGGUUUCAAGAGCAAUUGCAACUAGAUUCCCUGGUGCUAAUGUGCCCCUUUUAUUGUUUUAGUUUUACUCUAUUGUGAAGUUGUCUCCUCUUUCUGUAGUUUUCACUAGGGCUUUGACUGAUCGCAAGAAGAUGUAGUCUUGAGAGUGCUUAGUGGUGAAGAGUGAAUCCAAGAAGUUUUCUGUUGAUAUCUCGAGAGGUGGUGCGACACAUUAAUGCAGGUUUCUUGGAUGGGAAAUUCUUGACUAGUUUAAGGUUUAAUGUGCAUUCUCUUCUGGACUGACAAAACAAGAUGAGAGUGAUCACUCUGAUUUUUUCUUUUUCUUUUUUUUGGGGGGGCGAAUGUGUUGCAUUUCAUUUACAGCAAAACUGAACAACUUAUUUUUGACAUACUAUAUCCGAUGUAAUAGAUCUCCCAGGCUGGGACUCAAACAACAUAUCUGAAGCAUUGAACACAUAUUUUGUCGCCUGAAUUGUUGCAUCUCGUUGUAGAACUUGUCUUGCUGAUUAAGAUAAGCUGGGAGAUAGAGAGAACCUUGGUUUGGAGUAAGUAAAGCAAGAAAGGAAAGUGUAUGCACAAAGCUUUACAUGAUGUUAUAUUAUUCUUACUAUGGAUGCUUAUAUUAUCAAGUUUUAUUUCAUCGUAUGAUUUGCUUGGUUUCUGCACUUUGUGGAUGCUGUGGUGUAGAUUACCUAAUACGUUGAUUAAUAUAGCUCGCAGAAUGAGAACGGGAUUGUAAAACGCCACUUGCUCUAAAACAUGAAAUGAUGGUGGUAGUCUUCAUUGGCAUGUUUUAUAGUUAUAGUAAAUAUUUAUGUGAAAUACAAAAUGUAAAUAAAUAAAAUAGUAUAUAUAUAUAUAUAUAUAUAUAUAAUAUGUGUAUUGCUCUCGAUAUGAUUCCAGUAUAGAGUUAAAAUGUUAGGAUGGGAUCACUGUUUUGCCGUUCCAAUUCGUUAACGAUCCCAAAAUUGGAUCUCACAUUCCUAUUGAAAAUUUGAAUGAAAUUUUACGAAUUAGGUACCCAUGGUUGUGGCAGCUCAAAGGUCUGUUUAUUUUUUAAUAGCAAUCAAUGGGCCUUUACAAGCACAUAUGUUUCUAGAUUUUUCAUAAAUUGACAAUAAAAUAUUUGUUAUUGUCCAUUGGAGUACAUGAGAGUUACAUGAGAGAAUAUCGUUUAUACAUGCGUUCAAUUUUGGCGUCCAAGAGAGAUCUUGGAAAAAUAAGGUGCUUAGUACUCUCAGUUUUACUUGCAUUUUAGAUAUUCAUGCCCAUAAUAUGCUAUUCUUACAUAUCCAUGGUUAUCUUCUUCUUCGUGUUAUUUAGCAUAUUACAAGUGCUAAUUAGUCCUGAUGCCAGUAUGCAUUUUUCACUUCAUUUCUCAUACCUAAUAUAUUUUCUUUGUAAUAAACUUACCACUUAUUGUGAUGCUUCUAAAGACUUGUGUGAUUCUGCUGAGAUAACAUUUCCUUUGCCAGGUCCUGAAAAAAGUAGCUUCAACAACAGCGUAGCAGAUCAUCAAGUAGGUGUGACUUUCCUCUUACGUUCUCAUUUGAAUGUCGAUGCUUUUUGAACUUUGGAGGAGUAUCUAUUUUUUUUAUUGCUCCUCCUUUCCACACUUCAUUUUGGGUGGAGGUAAAGUAGAAAAAUACUAAGCUGGCAGAAACUGUCAAUCAAUAAAUGAGUGAUUUGAAAAGCUCUUUUCAACUAGUUAUUUAUAUUAGUAGAUCCCACCAUUCUAUAAUACUGUAUUGCCGUAGGCACUAGAUGUAUGAAUAGUUGAGCCACCAAAUUUUGAGAUGCUUGGAGGUUUCGAAGUCAAUAAGAGAAAAGUAAAUUAAACAUUUAGCCAGUACCUUAAUGAACUUAAUACAGAAGAUCAAGGAGUCUGUCUAAGCAUGCCUCAGCGAUUCCGCUAAGUUCUAAUUUUCUGAAUUAAUCCCAGAGGUACUUAUAAUUCCGAAUACUAUGUGACUUCAAUUCAUACAUAGCAUUUGUUUCUUUUGUCAAGAGCUUUACUAAUUGAUAUAUACCCGCAUUACUUUAAAUUCAAUUUCUUGAUCUCUUUAAUUUUCCCAUAUAUAUGCACAGCAUGAGUAUGUGGAAUUAUUGUUUACUUUUCUUGCCACUAAGAGGGCAUCAUAUAUUGCUGAAGUACCAAGCUGUUGGAAGAUGUCGCGCCUUCUCGUCUUUGUUACUAAGAUGUUAUUUUAAGGACAGUUUUCUGAUAUAUAUAGAUUGCUGGCUUUAGCGGGAGCUCUUUCGUGACUUAAAGACUCACAAAGUAUUGGUUGAUUCUCUAUCAGGAUAAUGGUGAAAAAGGGCUUAUACUUCAUCAUAUUAUUGUAUGUUAUUCUUUUUAUCAAGGAUUGUCAUGCCAGCGCCACUGCUUGUGUUGCUGUGCUAGCGGCACUGCACGGCGGCACGGAGCAUGCCAACAACGACACGCCCUUUUGCUCUCACCACUAGCACAUUGGCACACAUUGGCAUGGAUUUUUUAAUCAAAUGUUCAUAAAAGUACUUAACCUUUUAGUAUGUUUUAAUAUCUCUAAUUAUGGCUUGAGGAUUAUAUCGUACAAUUUUGUGAAAAUAGAGCCAUAAAAAUCUUAAUAACUAAUAAAAAAUUAAUUUUCAUAUAUUAUGUACAUGUGUGAUAAUAAAACUAAAUCAUAAUUCAGUAAAAAAAAUGUAGAGAAUGACUCUACCAUAAGGAAAAUCAUUACAUCUAAAAUGAUAAAAAAAAUUAAGAGAGGUCUUUUUUUGUUCUUUUAUCACUAAAAGAUAAUUUCAUAUGCAAUUGAACUCACUAAUUGCAAUAAAUGUUAGCAAAUUGACAAGAUUUACAUAUGGAAAAACUUUUGUAAAACUUUUCAUCUAAAAAAAAAAAAACUCAAAAAGACCUUUAGGAACUCAAAAAAAUUAUUUUGUCGACACUGUAUCGACACACCCCGAUGCCACAUAUCGGCAUGGCGUCGAUGCAGUAUGGCAUGGUCGUGAUGCCCCUCCUCCCACGGGGUCACCUAUUCUAAAACUACUCUAGCCUUUGCACGCUUAAUCCUUUUAGCCUCUUAAUUCUAGCCACCGUACAAAAUGUUAUAACUGGGUUAGAAGGUUUAGCCCUAUUAUAUCUUAUAUAUAGGACUAUUCCAAAUCUUAGGGGUGUCACAUUCCUUCCUCUUUUAUGCCAUGAUGUUCUUGUUAGGCUCAAGUACACUUACAAGCACCAGACGAUGUGAAUUUUGUUUUGCUAGCCUUAGCCGACCUUGUGGGGAGCCGCGCUCCACCCACAAUGAUUGUUAGUUGAGAGCCACACUCUGUCUGCUAUAUGACUUUAGCUUAGUCGAGACUCAUCUCACAUUUUUGGCUAGUGAUUGACUUUGAUACCAACUGUUAUGCCCUGCUUCCCAGGGGGGUCACCGAUCCUAAAACUACUCUAGCCUUAACGCACUUAAUUUUCUUAACCUCUUAGCCCUAACCACCACCUAAAAUGCUAUAGUCAAGUUAAGAGGUUUAGCCCUUUUAUAUCUUAUAUGUAGGACUAUUCCAAAUCCUAGGGGUGUCACAGUGGUGUGUAGCGGUAUGGACAAUCUUUGCUUUUUAUUAAAAGUUUUAAUGGCUAAUUAUUGUUAUGAUGACAACCGUGUACUCUUUAGUUGCUAUUAUGCCAAUACCAUAUAUAUUUAUUCUAAUAUCAGAUGCAUCGAAUCAAUUUUCUUGGCUUUAUUAGUUAGACUAUUUUGAAGUCUCUUUAUGUCAAGUAAAGUUUACUCCGUAGACUUACUUUAACUGUACAGGCUGUUUUAGAGACUGUAGCUAUUAUUACGCAUGACAAGUCAAAGAAAAAUGGUUCGGAGGAGAAAAGGUAUUAAAAUAUUUUCAAGGUGGCAUUAAUUAGCAGCAGUUUAACUAUGAGUUUGUAUUGACUUCUAUAUUGCCGUUUAUUAUAGCGCCAGCAAAUCUUUCCAAAUUGGUGAUGUCUUUUCAUUGGAAAAUGAGGGCUCUGAUGAUACGACAACCUUGAUAGAUAGAAAGGUACAAACAACAUGUUUUAUUGAUGUGCAGAAAUUUUGGUGUUUCUUGUCUUGUAAUUAUUGAUUGACCCUUCUAAACCACUUGCUUGUAAUCUGCACAGGACAAUGUCUUUGUGAUGUCAAAUCGUAAAACUAAGUACCCAAUGCUUCAAGUGGAUUUAAGGUUUAUUUUUGAAGUUAGAUUUAGAAAUAUCUUGUAUAUAAUCUGUUGUUAAUUGGUGAAUACUUGUGAGCAGCUUAUUUGAUGACAAUGAUUGCUUGCAGGUUGAUUUCUGAUCUGGUGGUUGUAAUUGUUUCAGCUACUAUUGGUGGUAUCACCUUUUCCUGUUUGGGCCAGCCGGUGAGUAGUUACAAUAUGCUCUUUCCUGUUAAAGCAGUCAUUCUACAGUUAAAAAUGCGGUUGCACCUCUUCACUUAUGCUAAAAGGUGCUCCACAGUGACAUUUGUUCUUCUGCUUUUGCUCAUGGAUAUUAUUUUUUGUGCUGCUUAUAUUUACAGGUCAUUGUUGGUUAUCUUCUUGCGGGGUCUCUCGUUGGACCUGGAGGGUUGAACUUCAUCAAUGAAAUGGUGCAGGUAAUUUGAUAGCAUCCAAAUAUUCAGAAUUUGGUCAUUUCUAAUAUUUUACCUCUUCUGCUGGUUUAGCUGCAUAUUCCUCGACUUCUGAUAAAUUCAUAUUUGACUGGUUUGCACAGAAUCUGCUGUAGUUAAUCAGUACUACUAAAUGGUUCAUCCUCUAGUUUUAAAGUUACUAAUGCACCAACUCCUAGAUAAUUCAUCCUUUCGUGGUGGAAUCUGAUUUGUUAUAGAUGGGAAAAGUAGUCAACCCUUUUUAACCAUGUCACCAUGUGACAUGGAAAUGGAUAUUAAAUGUGAGUGUCCUAUUCAAACCAGAUGUUAAAUGGAUAGGAAUAAAAAGGUCUGUCAUUUGCAAGUGGCACUAGGUGCAUGCUACACUGCAUUCAUAUGCUAGCUUCUAAGUGUAUUCAAGGUGUACUCUUAAGUACUGCAAGUUUGUGAUAUACCUCGGAUAUGCAGAAAAUGUUAUGCUUUAUGAAAUUUCUAAAUUGAUGUUCUUUUAGGGUAGUCUUAGUGAUGGUAUGUUUCUUAUCUCAAGUGUUUCUGUAUGAUUGAUGUUCUUUUAGGCUAGUCUUAGCAAUGGUAUAUUUCUUAUCUCAAGUGUUUUCUGUAUGAUAUGUUUCCUUCACAUUCAGGUAGAGACUGUUGCACAGUUCGGCGUGGUCUUUCUUCUUUUUGCUUUGGGCCUCGAAUUUUCAUUGACAAAGGUAUCUAUCUGUAUGAGACUAAAAUGUAUACUCUAUCCUUGCAUGAUUCAAUUCUGUGCUGACACUCUUUAAUCUCAUACAACCACUUGUCUAAACAAUGCCAGUUAAAAGUUGUUGGACCUGUUGCUGUUUUUGGAGGUCUACUUCAGAUUCUUAUUUUCAUGUCCUUGUGUGGUCUAACUGCGAUGGUACGUUAAUGCUUAUUUUAUCUUUACUGAGAUCUGUUUUGUCAUGUGUCCCCGAUCUUUUUUUUGAAUGGAAUGUAUGAGCUUUUCUGUCUUAAGUUUGAGGUUUUGAUUUCACACAGUUAUGCGGCGCAAAACCUUCUGAAGGUGUAUUUGUCGGCUCUUUCCUAUCAAUGUCAUCUACUGCAGUGGUGAUGAUUUCAAGUCUAAUAAAUAGAUUCAAGCUUUUUUACGUUUUCUUCUCUUUAUUCUAGACUAAUUAUUUUGCGUUUCAUUUCCAUUACCAGGUCUCUAAAUUUUUAGUGGAAAAGAGUAGUACAAAUGCUCUUCAUGGUCAAGUUACAAUCGGUACUCUUAUUCUGCAGGUUUGGUUUAUGAAUUGUUCUACUUUUGAAUCAUUAUAAGAUAGGUCAUAUGUUACCAUUUCCUAGACUUCUUUUCUCCCUGGCUAGACCAUUAUACCAUGUUAAACCACUAUUUUUUUUUAAUUAUAUAUCCAAGGACCACCAUACUAUGUGGCUGUGAUGCACUGUUUUGUUCAACUAUACUGCCAUUGUUCAAUAAUCCAAUCGAUAAGCAAAAUGUCAAUAAUGUGGCUUCUAAAAAAUGUAGAUUCAGUAUAGAUGUCACUUGAUUCAUGCAGGUUGAUUACAGCAUACCAUCACGUAGAUGAGUAAGGUAUGUUUUCUAAGCUGGAAAUAUUGAUUUCUUCUUCGCUUUUUCUCUACAGGAUUGUGCUGUGGGUCUACUCUUUGCUUUGCUUCCAGUUUUGGGUGGUAGCAGUGGUGUUUUCCGAGGAAUAAUGUCUAUGGGAAAGUUGUAAGAGGCUAUAACAACUUGUAAUACACAAAGUUUAACCCAAAGUUCUCCAAAAACAAAGUCUGAUCUGAAAAUUCAUAUUUAAGUUAGAUUUAGACAAUAAUAUCAGUGUUAACGUGCUUGUCGAACAAAAUUGACACUUGCGAAUUUGUUAUUCUUUAACAAUUAAUAAUAGUGAGUGAUGUAUUGGAUGUUCUUUUACAAUUAAUAAUAUGGUGAGUAAUGCUCAUUUGAAACGUUUCCAUACACAGGUUGAUGGUCUUGUCCCUGUUUAUAACUGCUGCAACUAUACUCUCUUGGUCUUUUGUUCCUCGUUUCUUGAAGCUUAUGAUUCAGUUGUCAUCACAAGUGAGUUAUCUCCUCUGCUUGAUUGCAUCUUUUUGACAAGAAAAUCAUCAAGAAUUAGAAUGCUUCUUCCUUAAAUCUUAUUAUGUUUUCUCCUAGUUAUCAGUGGUUCUCACUUGUCUACUAUAUGCAAUGAGAGUUCGGUGACUUCUGGCAAAAUGAGAAGUUAAGAAUAAUUUUGUUUGAUAUGCUGAAAAUUCUUACACAUUGUUAAUUAAGCUCAAAUUCAACCUGAAAACGCUAGUAUGCAGCAACCUGUACAUGGCUGUCCUUUCAGUAAAAGCUUGUCUAUAUAUUUGGGGUAAAUUACAUCAUUAGUCCCUAAACUCUUGCACGACUUUCACUUUGGUCCUUAAACGUCCAGUUGUUGCAUUAGACAGUUUGAACUCGAACUUAAAAAUGUUCCAGUGUCAGUCCUGCCUUCAGCUUUUGUCACCAAAGGCAGAAAUCUUACAUGGCAUGCUAACUCACUGAUCGUAAACCUGUUUAUUAUACACAGGUGUUUAACAUAUCCUUGAUUGGCAUACUUAAUUCCUUCAAAAGUUUUAUAAUCUUGAUAAUCAUGAACAUUCAUUAUUGUUGGCAGAAAAAAGUCAUUUAGGGGCUUAGAAUCAGUGACUUGCAUGACCCGUUAGAUUUCUAAUCUUCAGGCAACCGAAGCAGACGGCAGAACUGAGCUUGGAAUAUUUCAAAAGUUCCAGCCCUCUAAUGUAAUAAAUCAAAGUAAAACUCGAGCAAUAGUUUAGGGACGACCGGUGAAAUUUACCCUAUGUCUUUUUAUUGUUAAAUAUUUUCUGUUAAUGUCGAUAUCCGUCACAUAAAUCUCAUUUCUUAUGUCCCAUAGUAAAAGCAUAGUCUUUUAUUGAGUUCUCACAGUAUAUAUAUAUAUAUAUAUAUAUAGGAGUAGGGCUGCUGUGCUCUCAGGAGCACGGAGGUCUCCGUGCUCCUGAGCCGUUUUCGAUGAUGGAAUUUUCGAAUUGAUGAUCGGCUCCAUUAGACUUGAUCUAGGGUAUUUAAAGUUUCUAGAAAAUAAUUUUUGCGAUUUUUUGAUAUCAUUUACCUAGUGAUCGAAAGGAUUCAAAAUCAAUAAUUUUUAAUGGUUGAUAUCUGCCGUUUUUAAGUUUAACGGUGUAGAAGUAUUCAAAUCAGAUGAAAUUUUGAUACAAAAUUCUUUAUACUAUCUAUAACAAGAUCAAUAUUUCCGAUCGAAAAUUUUAGUGCUAUAUCACCACUUUUUAUAGGAUUUUUAUUUUCAGCCGUUAAAAAUUAUUGAUUUUGAAUCCUUUCGAUUGCUAGGUAAAUGAUAUCAAAAAAUCGCAAAAAUUAUUUUCUAGAAACUUCAAAUACGCUAGAUCAAGUUUAACGGAGCCGAUCGUCGAUCCGGAAAUUCCAUCAUCGAAAACGGCUCCUGAGAGUACAGCAGCCCUACUCUAUAUAUAGAGCUAGGUUGAUAUACUAUCGGUAGCACGAAGGCCUUCAUGCUACCAAGUUGUUAUCAAUGAUGCGGCUUCCAAAUCGACGAUCGGCUCCAUUAGACUUGAUCUACACUAUUGAAAGUAUUUGGAAACUAAAUUUCAUAAUUUUUCGACAUCAUGUUCCUAUCAAACGAGUAGUCUAAAAAUGAACGGCUGAAAAUAAAAAUCUCAUAAAAAAUGAUGAUAAAAGACUUGAAUUUAAGAUCAGAGGUACUGAUCUUACUCUAAAUAGUGAAAAGAAUUUUCUAUAAAAAUUUCAUCAAAUUUGGAUUGUUUUACACCGUUAAAUUCACAAACGCAUCAUAUCUACCAUUAAAAUUGUCAAUUUUGAGAUAUUUUGAUCGCUAGCCAAAUGAUGUCGAAAUAUUAUAAAAUUUAGUUUCCAAAUACUUUUAAUAGUGUAGAUCAAGUCUAAUGGAGCCGAUUGUCGAUUUGGAAGCCGCAUCAUUGAAAACAACUUGGUAGCACGGAAGCCUCCGUACUACCGAUAGUAUACCAGCCUAGCUCUUUCUAUAUAUCUAUACUAUAUAUAAAAGCGUAUAAGAAUUCCAACAAUGACAUACGGAAUCCAAAAAGGAAUAAAAUAAUUUUUUACUACGAAUGGUAAUAAUUAAUCUAUAUUUAUAUCUAUAUCUAUACUAUGUAUAAAAGCGUAUAAGAAUUCUGACAAUGAUAGACGGAAUACAAAAAGGAAUAAAAUAAUAUUCCCUACGAAUGGUUAUAAUUAAUUUGUUAAAAAUAUCUCAAAUAAAAAUUAACGGUUAUGAUCAAUCUAUUAAAUAUAAAAUAAUAUUCCCUACGAAUGGUUAUAAUUAAUUUGUUAAAAAAUAUGUCAAAUAAAAACGAACGGUUAUGAUCAAUCUAUUAAAUUUCUACUACAUAUAAAAGUCUAUCUAUAUCUAUACUAUAUAUAAAAGCGUAUAGGAAUUCCGACAAUGACAGACGGAAUCCAAAAAAGAAUAAAAUAAUAUUCCCUACGAAUGGUUAUGAUUAAUUUGUUAAAAAUAUUUCAAAUCAAUAAAAAAUCAAUCUAUUAAAUCUCUACUAUAUAAAAAUCUAUUCUCUACAAAUGCUUAUGAUCAAUUUGUUUAAAAAAAAAUCUCAAAUAAGAACAGUUAUGAUCAAUUUAUUAAAAAAUAGCAUUCCUAUCCAUCUAUAAAUUCAAUCCCACGAACGAUUAUAAUCAAUUUGUUAAAAAAUACCUCAAAUAAAAACAAACUGUUAUGAUCAAUUUGUAAAAAAAAAGCAUUCCUAUUUAUCUAUUUUACAUUAAAAUUUGAGUUUAAAUUAUGAAUUAAAUUUAAUUUUUGAUAUCAAAUUUAAAUUAACAAUUAAUUUUUUUAUUACAGUGGAUCAAUCUUAAAUUUUAAAAUUUGAAAAUAAAUAUAAAUUAAAUUUUGAUGCUUUUAGUUUAAAACACAUAUUUAAAUUUAAUUCAUCAAAAAUCAAAAAAUAUAUAAAAAUGUUCGAUGUAUAUAAAAAAAAGAACACAUAGGAUAUUGUAAAUAUUUUCUAAUAAAAUAUAAUAUAUUAAUUUAUAAAUAUAGGUUUUUAUUAUAAAAUUUUUUAUUAUAAAUGUACACAUUUAUAUUAGUUUGAAUAUAUUAUAUAAUAAUAAUUGUUACGUGCUUUGCACAUACAUUCAACUAGUGUAUAUAUAUAUAUAUAUAUAUAUAUAUAUAUAGAGUUGAGCUAGAAUACUCUCAAAAGCACCAAGGGGGUGGUGCUUUUGAGUUUUUAACCAUUGGAUGGAGAGAUGUAGGGUUGAGAUGAUGGUGGUAGGUGGAAUAGUGUUUUGAUCCAAGGGGUAUUAGUAAUUAAGGAGUAGAUCCAAGGGCUAGAAACUUAGAAGCACAAGGAAUUGGUGCUUCUAAAUUAUUCCUAGGCUUUCAUUCUAUAUAUAUAUAUAUAUAUAUAUAUAUAUAUAUAUAUACUCAUUUGUUAUUUACUAGAGUAAAAGCAAAAGCUUUUAUUGAGUUCUCCUCACAAUCUAUCAGCACAUGUAUCACAUGUGUAGUGUCCUAGACUCUGGUUUUUCUCAUAAUCAACUGUACAAUGAAAUGCUUGAAAACUAAAUAAUAUGGCGUGUGGAAUUUGCUUCAUGGUUGGCUGGCCUAAAGUGCUUUAUAGUGUCAACUGUUGAAUGCAUAGCAUCGUAGCUACUACAAUUGAGAAUGGUCACAUGAUGAAAAAGAGAGAUCAAUGAAGCAUCUAAUAAAGUGGCGGAUAACUCACACAGGUUAUUAUCUCUAUGGAUCACCUAGAAUGGCUAUAUUGAACCUUGAUAAUCUGCCAAUGACAAUGGAAUAACCAUAUCACGGUGCAUGUCACAUAGAAGUUCAAAUUUGAUCAAGAUCCAUACUUGGGUAUUUUUUAUAGUUUCCUUUUGAAAAAUUACUCUGCUACCAGACAUAAAAGUUCUUUCUUUAGAUCUUGUACCGAUUCAAGCUCUUCCACUUACAGUAUUUUAUUGGUAAAUGUAUGUAAUGACGAGUUCCAGUUAUUGCCCUUUCAGUCCUCUCUUUUAUCAUAGAUUUCUAUACAUUUUCACUUGACCCAUUUGCUGAAUUUGCAGACGAAUGAACUAUACCAGUUGGCAUCCGUGGCUUUUUGUUUAUUACUGGCAUGGGUGAGUGCAUGCUAAGUUAUUUCCUUCCUUUUUUUUCUUUAAGAAAAACAAUUUACAGUCAAUUUUUGUACACUUGAACAUUAAGUUUAUGGUUUCUGUUUAUCAUUACACAAGAACUUCACCAGAGUGUAAAGCUGCAAUUUGAAGUCACCUUUUCUUUUAGCUACCGUUGAUUAUGUGUUGCUGUCCCACAAACCACGACUUAACAGUUUUGCUGAUCUUUUACUUUCCUUUUUUAUGUAUGUCAGUGCAGUGAUAAGCUAGGAUUGAGUCUUGAGCUUGGUUCAUUUGUUGCUGGUGUUAUGAUAUCCACCACGGACUUUGCUCAGCAUACCCUGGAGCAGGUUAGACUAAUUUGUGUGUAUAUCGAAAUAAACAUUAUACGAAUAGCAUAGGAACUUCUGUGAUCAGCUCUAUUACCUUUUAUAUUAUAUUAAACACAUUAUUUUUAAUUAUGGGCAACAUAGAAUGGUUGUAUUUUUUUAAUUAAUUAAAUAUAAAUUUGGUGCUGAUCUUAGACAUGUUAAGACGUUUGAAGUCUACAUGUACUUUAUGGGUCACUUAUCAAUGUUUUUUGUUAUUCUUCUAUCAGGAUACAUGUUUUAGGUAUGAAGUUUUGGCCUCAUUUGGUAUUUUUGCCAUUUUUAUUUUUUUUCAACACUAAUUCUAUACAAUUUGGUUUGUUGGAGGAAAUACUUCUUAUUUGCUGUUAUAAUUGGUUAGCUUACAAUGCAUCUGCCAAAAUGAUAGAUGACAACUUGUUUAAAAAAAUAUUGGAAGCAAAAAAAGUUUUUUUUUCGAGUUUUUGUUUUAUGUUGCCAAAUAAACACUUUGGAUGAAAGGAUUGCUUGCAAUCUAUAGUCCGCUCAUGCACCUUUUGAUAUACAAGUUUGGAUUUAAAAAAAAAAAAGCAAACACGAUACCAAACAAGGCCUUUUUUUUCGUUCUCUUUUGUUUUUUUUACUUUAUCAAUUCUAACACUAUUUUGUUUUUCCCCUCUUAAGGUGGAAGCAAUACGCAAUUUAUUUGCUGCACUUUUCCUUGCUAGUAUCGGCAUGCUCAUACACGUUCAGUUCCUGUGGAACCAUGUUGAUAUAUUACUUGCAGCUGUUAUUCUGGUCAUUAUAAUCAAGACAAUUGUUGUAACGAUAGUAGUAAAAGCAUUUCGGUACAGCAUCAGAACAGCUUUUGUGGUAAGCAUCACAAACAACAUUUAUUUUCAUUGUGCCGCCAAGAGCUUUAUUCUAAUAAUCGGAAUAUUUUACUCUGCUGUUUAAUGCUUUUUCUACUUUUGGCAUAUAGGUGGGUCUAUCAUUGGCUCAAAUUGGGGAGUUUGCGUUCGUUUUAUUGAGCCGUGCUUCACAUCUUAAGCUUGUUGAGGUGAAUAUUCUCAUCCCAUGCUGGAUCUACUUUAAUGCUCUAUAUAUAUUUAGUUAGAAGUUGGCUCAUGACUUUGAGGGAUUGCUUAGACUAAGGAAGAUGUUAGAAGGCUAGGGUUCCGGUUGUGCAAACAAGGCUUGUAACUUGUUUGCCUUUUCACAGUGUUGAUAUGGGUAUUUUCAUAUGCAAAUAUUGAUUCUUGACUUUUGGUUGUUUUCUAUAUUUUCUACAAGGCAAGAGAAAAUUUACCAAAGUUACUCUCUUCUAUCAUCUAAAAACAAUUCGUCAGUUGCAAGUUGUACAAUGAGUUUUUCCCCCCAUGAUCUCCUUGAUUCAAUUUGCUGCCCACUGUUUCGCAUGUUAUCUAUUCUGUUCACCUUUUAGAUCCUUUAGUCAAGUAUAUCCCACCUAUUAUACCAUGGGAAUAACUUUAGUUGGGACUAAAGGCUUAAGUCAUGUUGUUUUUGCAGGGAAAAAUGUACCUCUUGCUUUUGGGAACAACUGCUCUUAGCUUGGUAAACUUCUUCUGAUUUAAUUGCUUCGUAAUCUAGCUAUUUUUGUCUUAUUUAUAUGCCUCAUAUAUAUAUAUAUAUAUAUAUAUAUAUAGAGAGAGAGAGAGAGAGAGAGAGAGAGAGAGAGAGAGAGAGUAUCUAAUUGCCUUUUCUCUCUACAGGUAACAACACCUCUCAUUUUCAAACUAAUACCUGCAGUAAUGCAUCUUGGUAUUCUUAUGCAUUGGUUUCCUUCCGAGAGCAGCAUGCAGAAUGAGGUGUGUUCAUUCACUUUUUUUUUAUUACAUUCAAUCAGAUCUCUCAAGUAAUUCCGGCCCAAGCAUCUGUUAAUAGUAAUAACUUGCCAUAAGAACAUCGGGAUGUUAUUUUUUUGAUGAUUGUCCUCUUUAGUUUAAUGAAAAACUGGGAAUUUGCUUAGACUAGUAAUGUGAGCGAGCUUGUGUACCAGUGCUGCUGAAUUGUAAGGCGAUUCUGAGCUUAAUACUCUUUGGCUGUUAACUGCUUGCAGGAUAGAGCAACCAUGCUUGAUGUCUACAACAGGUCACUUUGACAUCGCCCACUUAUUACCUAAUAUAAAAAAAAUUUGCAGUUCACCACAGUUCUCCCAACUGUUCAUGCUGCAGAACAUUUCACAACAGAUUUUACAGUUCUUCACUGCCUACAAACUCAAAGUGACGAAUAAAGAAGAUCUCUGCCGUCUCUCACUCGUGAGCAGUUGUUUUGUAAACUGAAACUAGUUACAUUUCUAUGACAUGUAAAUAUGACCGAUAUUGGAUUUCAGAAAAUUCUUUAACACGACAAAAUUUGUAGCCAGGACGUUGUUUUUGAUCUUGAAUAGUUAUUUUUGAUCUUGAAUAGUUAGAAGGGAAGCUUAUUCUAGAGGAAAACCUUCUACCAUUGUAUAAUGUUCAAAAAGGAAGUCACAUGUAAGACUCGGGAAAAUUGAUGAAGCAACCAUUUCUUUCAGCUCUUUUGCAUAUGUUGACAGUCACCAUUAAGUUUCUGUUUAAGAUGCUGUUAAGAUGUAGAGUCCGGAGGGAUGUUAAGAUGUAGAGUCCGGAGGGGACUCAAAUCACCUUUCUUUCAUCGUCUUUAAAUGGGGCUUCUGUUAAAUUGAAGUCAAGAUAAGCAUGUCUAUUCUAAUGUGAUGUGCUUUUCACUUUAUUAUGUGUGAUUUAUAUAUAGUGAAAUCAGAGUAAGGAAGCGGUUGUACUACGAUUCUCAUUUGUAUGAAGGGGAAAGAUUGCUCCAAGUUAAGGUAUUGUAUAAGAUGAUUAAUUAAUGUGGCUAAGAUUAAUUUCAACUCCUGGAUGCAUAGUAGAGUGCCUGAAUGGCUUUCACUAUGCUUUGUAAACAAGCAGAUUACAAGAGCUGCCAAUGUAUUACAUAGCCUAUUGAAAAGUAUGUUGCUCAUUUUUUGUUUUCUGAGUAUUGCUAUAUUGGUACAAUAUAACAUGGGGGUAAUAGUGCUCAAUCUGCAAUCCUUUACCAAGGAGCCAUCAUUUUGCUUACAGACUAUCAAACAGAAAAGCAACUUGUAGUAUGACUGUCAUCCUUUUUCGUACUCAUCUGCUCGCAUGAGUCUCCGAUAAAUUUGGAGUUUAUGUUACCAUUGGUCCUGUGGCGGCUGAAGGGGAAGCAUGUGACAAGACCCUCUCUUAUGAAUUCCUGCUAGUAUAGUAAAUGAGCAUAAUCUCAAUGCAACAGCAAUAUAUGACAGGAAGUAUCUCAUCUUUGCAGAAAUGAUUAUAGCCGUAAUGGAGGCACAGGAUCUUGAGUUGCUACAGGACUUAUAAUUUUGGUAUGAAUUACUGAUUGGAUCGUUGAAGUCUCUUGAUUCUCCUAAUAGAACAAGUUAUCAUUUUGUUCAUCAUGGUUAUAGCUUAGUGUAUGCAGAGCUAUGAGUAUUUUGAGUUGAAAACUUGUGGACUUAAAGUAUUCAUCCAUUCGAUCGCUCAUUUACAAUCAGAUUUCUGUGUUGUUCAGUGAGAAUUAAAGAAAGUAGGUUCAGAUAUGUACCGCAGAGAGGCUUUUCUUCUUGACAACAAGUGGCUUCCUUUUGUAGCUCAGUUUGCGGCUAAGCAUUAUGAGUUCUCCAAGAGUCAGGGUCCUCCUCGCCAAAGGCCUCGGAUUGUCAUCACAAGUGUUCUUACAGAAAUCAGCAGCAGCUCCAUCUUGCCUGCGAACCUUGUUAAGAAAACCUUCUUCUGGAAGGGAAACAGGGAAAACGAAAUCCAGAACCAAAGCAUCUGUGCCGCCAUUCUGUGCUGCUGAGCUGGUCGAGCUGCUGCUGUAGGCAUCAGUCUCCGACAUGGAGUGCCAGUUCUCGUGCCAGCUCGAGCCACCUUGGCACAGACUUUCCUGAAAAGUGAAACCACUAGCAGCAACAAUUGAAAGUGAAUUGUUAAGGACAGGAUCAGCUCUGGGUGCUUGGUUAUUAUUGACUUCAAAAGCAAAACCCUCAAGAUCAAACCCUGGAGAAUAAUCCCUGUCCUCGGCAUUAAAAGCACCGAACUCCGGAUCAAACCUUUCUUCAUCCACAAAAGGGUUCAGAGAGUGAGUGGAUGGAGAGAGAUCACCGAAAAUUGCCGGGAAAUUCUGAGGCAACUGGGCGAGCGGUUUCCCAGGUUCUUCCUCCCAUUGGAAGGGUACACUCACAACAAGUUUCGCUGGAGAUGGAAAUGAGAUCAAGGAGGUAGGAUUGGAAAUCCACUCCCUUUUGGGUGUGCCAGGUUUCAGCUCCCACAGAAAUGGAACUGAAAUCUGCUGCUUCACCCUUUGCCUUGGAUUAAAUUCCAGAAGUUCUGUCUCUUCAGCCAUCUCCAAUGUAGGUUGGCUUAAGAUAGGUUUGUAGUUCACACCAUAGAAUGUGGUAUUUGUAGGAGAGCCGCUGAGGUUUAGAUAAAGCUGCUCCUUGGUCAACAUUGCUAUGGUUGAACUAUUCCCCUUUGGGAGAAACAAAAAGCUUCAAAAAGCUUCCUUUACCCACUCCUCUUAUGGACUCUUUGAUACAUAAUUAGUUCCUUAAACAAUAGAAAUGUUUUAUAAAUAGAUUUGGGGACUCUUUGAUACAUAAUUAGUUCCUUAAACAAUAGAAAUGUUUUAUAAAUAGAUUUGGCUACCAUCACUUGCUAAAAAAAACAAAAAGAAGGAAAUGCUGCUACCAACAAAAUAACAUUUUAUUGCAAAACAAAUUUGAGGUUCCAUGUAACAAAUGCAACAACAAUGGUGACAAAGUAAAGAAUGAAAAGAAAGAAUGUGAUGUAAUUAAUCAUUGUGCCACCAAAAGCAAUCAUCCUUGCGCGACGAAUAUUUACCGCGAGAGGCAUCACGAAUUGUUCCUAACCGACUCCAAAAACUGCACCACCUCCGCCAUGCUCGGCCGCCUCGUCGGGGCCUCGGAAGUGCAUAUCAACCCUAUUUUCAGCACCUGAAUCAAUUCGCUCUCUACAAAAUCACUCAAAUUCCCGUCAAAGCAAUCGGACGGGGUACCGUCCUCUAACACCUCCCUCACAUAGUCGCGCAGCACCACCACCUUCGCCGCCCCCGGGCUAUCCACCGGCUUCCGCCCCGUCACAAUCUCCAGCAAAACUACCCCGAAGCUGUACACGUCACACUUAUCACUAUACCGCAAGCUCUGAGAGGCUAACUCGGGUGCUACGUACCCAACUGCUGUAUGAAACUUUGUCAGUUGAAGGCUACCGAGAAUCGGUAACAGCUUGCCCAACCCAUAAUCCGAUAACUUAGCUUCGUACUUUUCAUCUAACAAUAUGUUAGUAGACUUAAUGUUAAGAUGCAGGAUUUGGGGUUUGCAAUCAUGGUGGAGAUAUGCGAGGGCUCGAGCCGUUCCAAGAGCUAUUCUAAACCGUCGCGACCAGAGGAGCUCGCUUCUGCCUCUGCCGCUACUGCUGCUAGGAUAGGGGAAGUGAUUCCCAUGCAGAUGAUCAUAGAGAUUCCCAUUAGGGAUGAAUUCGGAGAGAAUCAACUGCAUUGUGGAUGACCAGUAGUAGCCCUGGAAAGCAACCAGAUUUGGGUGGCUAAGACUGCCGAGCUGGCCCAUCUCCUGCUCGAACUCAUCCUGGUUCCGGAUCCUCCCUAGGGUUUCGAGCCUCUUCACGGCGAUCGUUACCCCGCCCUCGAAGCUGGCCUUGUACACCGUGCCUAUCGAUCCGCCGCCUAUAAUGCAGUCCUUAUCGAGAAGCGCCUUUGUGCCCGUUUCCCAGUCUUCGUACUUCGAAGGUAGGCUCUUGCUGAAGAGGACCAACUUCCCGAUGAUCACAUUCGAUCCAGUAGAGAGAGGCGGCGUGCUCUCGGACACCAAGACCUCCUCUUGCCGCCCUCUCCUUCGAUACGCCCCGAUGUUCAUGAUUGUGACGAUACAAACCCCGACGAAAAUAAUGGCCGCGGCAACAAUGACGACUAUGGCGGAAACACUCAGUGAUCUUGCUCUCCGUGGGCCGCCGCAGAUGUUGUUCAGCGGAGGGCCGCAUAGCUUCGGAUUGUGCAUGAAUGCUGAGAAGCCGAAUCUUUGAAGGUAAGAAGGGAUAGUGCCGGAGAGAUCGUUGUAGGAGAGAUUGAAGUAGGUUAGUUUUGUCAGGUUUUCUAGGCGCGGGAUGGCGCCCGUGAGUGAAUUCUCCGACAGAUCGAGGAAUUCGAUGUUGGUGAGGUUGUCGAGGGCGCCGGGGAUUCCUCCCUGCAAGCGGUUCCCGGACAGAUCCCUGCAUCGGCAGAAACACUAAAACAUUUCAUUCGAUUCGCGAAAGCAAACGAUAUUCGGGAGAAGGGUCUACGGACCGAGAGGCUGCGAUUUCUACUUACAGCUGGAGAAGAAAGAGGCAUUGGCCCAGGGAAGCCGGGAUCUCGUCGGAGAGUUGAAGGUUUUCGAGAUCGAGCACGCAGAGCAGCUCGAUCCCGCCGAGCUCCGGCGGGAUGGGGCCGCUUAUGGCGGCAUUGUUCCCCAGCCUGAGAACUGAGAGCAAUUUUAGUGUCCCAAACUCGGCUGGGAUGGUUCCGGAGAGAUUGUUAGAUCCCAAAUCCAAGUACUCCAGUGCCUGGCAAUUGACAACGCUUGUGGGGAUUCCGCCACUGAGAGCAUUACCGGAGACGUCGAAAUAGCCCAACCUCCUCCCGCAGGAUGCGAUCUUCGGAAUCUCUCCGACGAAGCCGUUCGCAGAUGCAUUGAAGUAGGUGAUGUUCACGAGGCCGAGGAUGCCGAAGGGGAUCGAUCCGGAGAACGAAUUGCUCCCGAUAUCGAACAGGCUCAAGCUCCGACACUGAGAUAUCUUAUCGGCGACGGUGCCGGAGAGGGAAUUGCUGCGGAGGGAGACGUAGUUGUUGAAGGAGAAGUCGAAUCCGACGAGCUUGGAGCAGUUGCCGAUGGAUCCGGGGACGGGGCCGGAGAGGGCGUUGUGGGAGAGGGAGACGUAGCGGGUCUUGAUGCAGCUGCGGAAGAGCUCGUCGGGGAUCUCGCCGGAGAAGGCGUUGUAGGAGAGGUCGAGGAGGCGGAGCCCCGGGAAGGAGCCGAGGAAGGAGGGGACAGCGCCGGAGAGGGCGUUGCGGCUGAGGUUGAGCUUGUGGAGGGUGGGGGCGAGCGCGGCGAACUGCGGCGGGAUCUCGCCGGAGAAGCGGUUGCCGAAGAGGGAGAGGAUCUGGAGCGAGGGGAGCCGGGAGAGCGACGCGGCUAGGGUUCCGGCGAGGUCGGCCCCGUGGACGAGCACCUUCACGACGGCCCCGGAGGGGUCGCAGCUCACCCCGGCGAAGUCCCGGCACGGGUCCCCCCCGGCGCUCCACGUCGCGAGCGCCCCGCGCGGGUCGGAGCUCACGUUCCCCUUGAACUCCAGCAGUAUCUCCUUCUCCGCCGCCGUCGCCGCCGCGGCCACCUCCGCCGCGAGCACGACGGCGACGACGGCGACGACGACGACGACGACGAAGUGGAAGAGACGGUCACGGCGCCGGAGCCUCAUUCCCGCCGUCCGUUACCGCCACCGUUAGCGACGGCGUGGGGUGCGGUCACCGCCCGGGUAAGCAUCUCCCACCAGUGUUAGUAGAGCGAUCCUACGCUUUCUAGUACUAGGCGCAGUAGCAAUAAAUAAAAAGUAUAGCAGUAGGUGAGAGGUAUAGUUAAGUGGUAUUAAAUGGGAAGUGGAGGAGGGGACUCCUCCGGUGAGGUUAAUAAAUAGUGGGGAAGCACGUGUGUGUGUUCUUUUUCAUGCGUUAGAGAGAGUUAGAAAUUGGAUUGGUGGAUGGAGGAGGAGGUGACUGUACUCGCCGUUGUUGUUGGGGGUGGAUUCAAUGGUCUCGCCUACCACACCACCACCACCAUUACACCAUUACCAUCAUCAAAAAGAUGGUGAUGAUUGAGCUGCAAAAGAGUUUAGCAUUUGUACUGCUACCAAUAGUAGUAACCUUUCCUGCGAGAGUGGAAGUUAAUGCGAGGCCACAAAAGAGAGUUAUGUGGGUGACAGGGUGAAGUUAUGAGAUUGGCUUUUUUUUUUUUUUUUUUCUUUUUUUAAGAGAAAACUUCCAAAUAUUAUUCCUGCAAUUUCAUUUUUUUUAAAUUUUAGUACUAUAUGUUUUAAAGUCUAUUAAUUUAGUAUUCUACAAUUUUAUUUUUCUCUUUUUAUUAUCUACUCCACUAAAUUUUUUUCGUUAAAUCAGCUAUAAAGUUAAAACUAAAAUAUACUAAAGUGAAUAUUCAAUAAAUAUAGAUGAAAUAUCAGAAAUUUUUUAUAUAUAAUUUAAUAAAAUGUUAACGAAAGAACUGACAAAAAAAAAAAAAAAAUCACGGAGUACUAAAUUAAUACAUUUUAAAUCACAGAAUAUUAAAAUGAAAAAAUCCGAAACCAUUGGGUGGUAUUUGAAAUCUACCCUUAUUCCUACCUUUUGUUCAUGGGAAGUAGUAGAAGACUUUUUGAGGUUUGGUAAGAUUGUUGGUGAUGUGCUGAUGGAACGGAUUAGAUAGAAAGUUAAGUGAAACAACCUGAAAAACACUAGGAACAUGAAUUGUGCUGCUUUUCAAAUAUUUCUUUUUAGAAUAAUUGUAUAGGAUUCCAUGUAAAGGUAAAGUAAUAAACAUAUACUUAUGAAACUUGAGUUAUCAGAUUUAUUUUUUAAAAAAAAUUUUCGUCUAUUAAUGUAUUCUUUUGUUGAUAAAAUUUAGAUAGUUAUGAGUUAAAAAAACUAACUACAAUUAGCUCACGGCCAAAAUAACCUUUUUAUCCCUAAUAUGUAUAAUUUGUAUUAUAAUAUUAAGUUCCGUCAUUUUUCUCAUUUUGCUCACACUCUGUAGCCAUGGUGAAGACAAGACUUACAGCGGUCGCUAUGUCGAAGGUGAGACUCCCUCUGUCGCAGAAAAAAAUGAAGUACACCGCACGUGCCGUGGCGAAGGCGAGAAAAGAGAGAGAGAGAAAGAAGAUAAUUUUUUAUAGAGACAAAUUUGUAAGGACAAAAUAAUCAAUUUAUGUACCCACCGUUAAAUACUAACGGUGAAUCAAACGGUAGGGAUAUAUAUGAAUGAAUCAAAAUUUUAGGAAGAAUAUAUUUACAAACCAAAGAAUUUUUGAAGGAAUCAAUCAAAUAACUUAAGUUUCAUAGAGAAAUAUAUAUUUGUUAUUCCAUAUCUUUGCAUAAACCCGUAUGAAAUUAACCUUUUUUUUAUAAGAAUAUAGAAAACUUCUCUGAAUUAUUGGAAUUUGGCUAUCCAACUUUUUAGAAUUUUGAUUUUAUUAUUUAACUUUUUUAAUUUGUUUGAUUAGAGUUGGUCAAUGAUAUUUUGAUUUUAAAAUUUAAUUGCGUCGUUUAUCUUUAUAGAUUUAAUUAGUAUAUUUUAUAUAAUUCUCGCAAUUACAAGUCAUUAAAGUAAGUAAUUAAAUUAAAUUUUAAAGUCAAAGUGUCAUUGCCUAACUCAAAAUAAAUAAAAUAAAAAAUUGGAUAAUAAAAUUAAAAUUUUGAAAGAUUGGAUAGCCAAAUUCAAAAUUCAUACAUACUUAACUUAUCUUUUUUUAAGAAAAAAACUUUCUGUAAAUCUAAAAUUCGAGUGUAAUUAUUACAUUCUAUCCACCCAAGAGUUGAAAUAAUCCUUCUAAAUUUUAAGUUAAAAAAUUUAAAAUUGUGAUAAAAUUAGUGUGAUAAAAUUGAUUCUGAGAUGGAUAAGAUAUAAAAUUUAUACAUAUUUUCUGGUACGCUGGUAGCAUUGUUUUAUUUUUAAUGAGUACUCAUUCAUAAACACCAAAAAAUAUUUUUAAAUAAAUAUUGAUAAUGGAUCAAUUUAGAAUAUGUAAUAGUUGGUUACACAAAAACUAAAAUGCACAUUGUAUGAUAUAUGUGGCUCUAUUCAUCAAAAAGAUGGAUCUCUAUGAUUGAGCAAGUGGUGCAGAUGGACCUAGCUUCUUGACAGACUAUCAGAGCUGUGCAGAAGUUUUUUUUACACGCUAAAAUUGUCCAAAUUUACACCCCAAUAAUAAUAGAUUAGUCAUGUAGUUUAGUCUUUUAAGAUUAAUAUUUUAUCAUUGUUAUAUUAAAAAUUAAAAGAUAAACUUCUGAUACCUUUCUCGUAAUUUAUCUUUUUUACUCUUCAAUAUUAUGUGGUUUUAAACGUAUCACUUAAGUACCAUAUUUUUUUUAAAAAAAAUUUCGUUAACACGGCACUAUCUCCUCCACUAAAACCGUUAUGAGUUUGCGCACGUGCAUUGGAGAUAUCCCACAAAAAUUGAUAAAAAAGACAUAAAAAAUCGAUAAAAAAAGGUAUGAGGCCCCUUAAAGCUUAAUUCUAAUUAUUUUUUGAGAAUUCCUGACUAAGAAGCAACGGUGUGCAGCACAUGACAGUUUUAACGGAGAAGAUAAUAAAACUACUAAUAAAAUUAAGUAAUAUAGUUAAAACUAUAAGGUACUAAAAUAAAAAAAUAAUAAACUACGGAGGGUAUCUAAAUUUUUUCCAAAAUUAAAUCAACAACUAAUUACAACAGAUAUAAAACCUCUAAGUUGAUCUUGUUCAAAUGCAUGAACAUCUUAUUCAGUAAUAUUCAUCAAUUUGAUUAAAAGUAUAUAGUAUUUAAUAAAUAACAAGCGUAAUCAAAUGUUUAGAAUGAUAUCAUAUUUCUGCCUCCAAAUUAUUUUUUAGAAUAGGAUAAAGCAUCUUGUAAGUAAAACAUAGAUAAAAUAUAGGAAAAAUUUAAAAAAACCCCCCGUGGUUUCGUAGUUUCUCAUUUUGCCCCCUUGUGGUUUAAAAUGUAUCAAUUAGCCCCCCUAUGGUUUCUUUUUUCUCUUUUUCUUAUCAUUUUUAUUAUCUUUUUUUUCUUAAAUCAGUGAUAAAGUUAAAAUUAAAGGGUACUAAAGUGCAUAUUUGAUAAAUCUAGAUGUGUAUCUAAAGUUUUUUGUAGAUAAUUUAAUGAAACAUUAACAAAAAAGCUAUCAAAAAGAUAAAAACGAAACCACAAGAAGGCAAAUUGAUACAUUUUAAAUCACAAGAGGGUAAAGUGAGAAACUACGAAACCACAGGGGGGUUUUUUGAAGUUUUUCCUAAAAUAUAUAGAACUUACGUGAACUAUGGGUUAUUUUACUUUAGCUAUCCAAACUUUCAAAAUUUUAAUUUUACUAUAAAAUUUUUCAAUCUGUUUGAUUUACGUCAGUGGAUGACAUUUCAAAAUUUAAAUGUGUCAUUUAUCUUUACAAUUUUAGUUAGUAUAUUUCAUGCAUUUUUCAUAACUAUAAAUUUGUUAAACUAAUUAAUUAACUUUUAAAGUUUGAAGUGAGAGUGUCGUUAAUUAACUCGUAUGAAAUAAAUUGAAUGACUGGAUACUUAAAUCAAAAUUUCAAAAGGUUUAUUAGUGAUCAAAUUAAAAUAAUCUAUAGUUCAGAUAAAUUUUAUAUAUUUUUAUCUAAAUAUAUAUUGUAUUACUAAAUUAUAGGUGCCAAAAUAUUUUAAAAAAUAAAAUAUAAACUUCUAACUUUGAAUUACAUAAAAAAAAAAAGUAUGUAUGUAUGUAUUAAAUAAAGGGAAAACUUCAAAAACCUCCCAUGUGGUUUCGUAGUUUCUCACUUUGCCCCCCUGUGGUUUAAAGUGUAUCAAUUUGCCCCAAUGUGGUUUCGUUUUUAUCUUUUCGAUAGUUUUUUCGUUAAUAUUUUAUUAAAUUAUAUAUAAAAAACUUCAUAUACUCAUCUAGAUUUAUCAAAUAUUCACUUUAAUACCCUUUAAUUUUAACUUUAUCAUUAAUUUAAAAAACAAAAAUAAUGAAAUUGAUAAAAAAAAAAGAGAAAAAAAAAUCACAAGGAGAUAAAUUGAUACAUUUUAAACCACAGGAGGGCAAAGUCAAAAACUACGAAACUAUUGGGAGGAUUUUUGAAGCUUU